GGGUCUCAAACUACCUUAAACCCCAACUACAACACAUCCAACAUACAUUUACAAGUCACAUUGCUCAAAAACUCAUCAAAAACCCAUAAACUCAACAUAAGCUUACUCAUGCAUUUUCUACCCCAUGAACUUGCACAAAACUUGUUUAAAACAUAAUAUAAGUUAGAGAUCGACCCUUACCUCUUGAAGAUCGAGAGUAGAGGCGAUCUAACUUGGAGUUGGGAGAGAUUUAGCUCCUUGGGUCUCCAAGUGCAAAACUUGCUCAAAACUUGAAAAUCUUCAAAAGAAGGUAAAAACUUGUGAAAAUCUUGAAAGAUCUGAAGGAAAAGACUCAAGAUUGGUGAGGAACGGCGGAGAACUCACCUUGGCCGACAAUGGGGAGAAAAGCUCGCCCGUUUUCGGCUAAGGGACCCUUUUAUAGUGGCUGGCCAGGCCACGUUCGGGGGCCGAACGUGCCUCCGCAUGCAUGUCAUGUUCGACGGCCGAACUUGAGGUUUGGCGGCCGAACCUGGACUUCCCUCACUUAUGCCUUCGGAGGCCUAAGGCACACCCGAAAUGCCUGCAUGUUCGGCGGCCGAACCUGGGUUUUCCUCCAAGGUUGUUUUCAUGCAAAAACUCAUUUCCUUUUUACUUAAAAUCAUGAAAUACAUUAAAACAUUUUAAGAAAACAUGUUUCUACCCUACUAGAGGCUUCCGACAUCCGAGAUUCCACCGGACGGUAGGAAUUCCGAUACCGGAGUCUAGCCGGGUAUUACAUAUACCAGAUUGAAGACCUUCAUGGGAACCUAAAGCCUUACACUUGGAACAUCCAGCACUUGAAAAUGUACUUUCCCUAUAAAGCUCAUUUCCUUUUUACUUAAAAUCAUGAAAUACAUUAAAACAUUUUAAGAAAACAUGUUUCUACUCUACUAGAGACUUCCGACAUCCGAGAUUCCACCGGACGGUAGGAAUUCCGAUACCGGAGUCUAGCCGGGUAUUACAUAUACCAGAUUGAAGACCUUCAUGGGAACCUAAAGCCUUACACUUGGAACAUCCAGCACUUGAAAAUGUACUUUCCCUAUAAAGCAUACAAUGUAAACCCUUGUAAUUUGAAAUAUAAAUGAAAAAUGAUGCUCCUCUUCCUCCUAUUUUAGUAUCCCUAAAGCAAGUACAGAAGCCUUCCAUGAGCUGGGUGAUUGGUCUCGGAAAAUUACCGCCGGCACCACAAAAUCGGCUGAGAGGAAGAAGAACUCAGUGAGGUGAGUGAUCAGUCUCGAAAAAUGACUGUCGACAUCACAAAACCAGCUGAGAGGAAGAAGUCCUCAGUGAGGUGGGUGAUCGAUCUCAAAAAAUGACCGUUGGCACCAUAAAUCCGGAUGAGAGGAAGAAGAUGAACAUAGAAAUAACAAGUAACGGCCUUGAGCCCCAAGUAAUGGCCUUGAGCCCCUCAAAAGAAAAGCUAAGCAAGCAAACAACCGACCUAAAACUUAGCCCACAUAAGGCUCAACAAGUAAAUAAAAACUUGAGCCCAACCUCACAAAAGAGAAGCGCCCAGGUACAGGAAACAAAAAUCCAAAUACUAGCCUCACUCACAGGCUAAAAAUACGCGAAAAUAGCCUAAGUAUAAAAUAAUCGAACUCAUAGCACGGACGGGCUCACAAGCUAAAAACAUGCGAAAACACGUAGUGUUGGGUACCACUAGAUCCCCAUGGAUAGGUCGGAUAAAGAAAAGACAUCAUUCAUUACUGAAGAUGGGACGUACUAUUACAAAGCCAUGCCUUAACCCACAUAAGACUCAGCGAGUAAAUAAAAACUUGAGCCCAACCUCACAAAAGAGCUUGAAGCGUCCAAGUACGGGAAACAAAAAUCCAAAUAUUGGCCUCACUCACAGGUUAAAAACACAUGAAAAUAGCCUAAGUAUAAAAUAACGGAGCUCACAGGCUAAAAACACGCGAAAACACGCAAUGUCGGGUACCACCAGAUCCCCAUGGAUAUGUUGGAUGAAAAAAGCUUUACCUGUUUCUAUGGAGAGAAUUCAUCCGAUUUUCAUGUUUCUAUGUUACAGAAAUUCGUUAUCGAAUCCGAGUAAAGUUCUUAGUAAACUUAAUAUGUCAUAAAAUUUUAAAGGGAAUGCAAGUUGUUUUUCUUUUUUAAUGGUUUAUUAAGAUGCAUGCGAUAUUUUGGGGUUUAAGUUUUCAAGGUCAAUAAUGGAUGAAUUCUUAUUUUGUUGAUGCAUAUUGUGGUUAACAGGUCUUUGGAGUAGUUUAAGACUAUGUGGUAUUGUUGUAAUAUGGUUUUCGAUGAUAUGAUGUGCUUUGAUCUUGUUUUGAAGCCAUCUUUAGCUGACUAACUUGCUGCCAAAAGUCCUCCAUCCAACUAUUUUCAGCUUGUUCUCUACAUGCGAAAAUAUAUGCUUUUAAGGGUUUAUUGGACUAGUUUUAAGUCAAUCUGUAUAGGAUCGGACUUGGAUAUCUUAAUUAAACUAUUUUUAUGUUAUGUUUCUACUCACUAGACUAGCUUAUCCCUUUUCUCCUAAUCCUAGAUUUGCAAGAUCAAUUCGAAAGAACAAAAAUGUUCUAUUGGUAUAGCUUUUUAUAAUAUUAUAAUAUAAAUUUAUGUUAUCAAUUAUGAUAGCUUGUUAUGGAUUCCAACAACCUUAAAUCGAUCUAAACUGUAAUGCCAACAAUCUGAUAUGUGUACAACCAAUUAUUUUAAAUGUGCCAGGCAAGGAUUCCAAAUAAAAGAGGAAUUAUCAAACUAUCAACAUAAACUAGAUUUUGGAGGGUUAAUUUCACUCAUCAUCCCUUACUUUAGGUCUUGUAUCAAUAAUCUCUUAGCUUUAAUUCGUAUCAUGAACAUUAAUUUUAGUAUCAUUAAAGUUCAUGUGACUUGUUAUUAACGGUUUAGAAAUCGAUAUCUAAUUUCAAUUACCAUUCCUAAACUUAGAAAAAUAUAUCACAAUUGUCCUCCAAUAAAUAUAUAACAAAAUUUUUUAGUUUUCUAAUUAA
RNAcentral lists this long non-coding RNA (2987 nucleotides) under Manihot esculenta (cassava). RNAcentral describes it as "long non-coding RNA (MESC_LNC007518)". The record is from RNAcentral. Lineage: Eukaryota; Viridiplantae; Streptophyta; Magnoliopsida; Malpighiales; Euphorbiaceae.